RNAcentral lists this transfer RNA (812 nucleotides) under uncultured cyanobacterium. RNAcentral describes it as "partial 16S-23S ribosomal RNA intergenic spacer". The stretch from base 270 to 342 matches the Rfam family "tRNA". Lineage: Bacteria; Bacillati; Cyanobacteriota. The record is from RNAcentral.
CAGGGAGACAACACAACGAUUUUGAUGCUGAGUGUUUUUAAUCUUAGGCCGAAAUCCUGUCACCUUAGGUCGAUCGGUACCUCAGCGUUGAAGUAAUUGAAUCAGCAGCGAUGUUGAUGAGAAUUAUGGAGAUGAUCAGUUCCUAAACUUUGUCUAGGUCACACCCCAUAAGGGUUGAGUUUUCCUGGGCCAUUAGCUCAGGUGGUUAGAGCGCACCCCUGAUAAGGGUGAGGUCCCUGGUUCAAGUCCAGGAUGGCCCAUUCGGUGUUGGGGGUUUAGCUCAGUUGGUAGAGCGCCUGCUUUGCAAGCAGGAUGUCAGGAGUUCGAGUCUCCUAACCUCCACUGACCGAACUUUAUCUCCCGCUUUGCAUCGAUCGAUGGAAAGUGACUCGAUGUGGUGUGUGUGAUUUAGAUGUGUCCGCUGGAUUGGAUCCCAGCUUCCUGUCAUUCCAAAUUUAAAUGAGGCUUUUUGCUUUGUUGAUUUGAUUUGGUUGAUAAGAUGCUGGGCUCAGAUGAAAUUAUUGAGCAAUCAAUGAUUUGAUUUGACGUCUAGCAGAACCUUGACAACUGCAUAGGUGAAGUCUGGAAAAACAAAGCAUCUUACAGAUGCAUUGUUUUGAAUUUAGACAUCUGAAAGGAUGUUUAGAUCCAGAACAAUGAAAAUUCUUUUGAGCAAGAGCCGAGACUCUUCAACGUUCUUGGAAUCGUGUCGAGCGAAACCGAGUUUGAUUUUGUUUUAGGAGUUGGUGAAAACCAAUGAUUAAAACAUAAGAAUCUGCUUUCAACGGCAGUAAGCGUUUAAGAGAUACAUU